UACACACACUAGAGUUUGAUCAUGGCUCAGAUUGAACGCUGGCGGCAUGCCUUACACAUGCAAGUCGAACGGCAGCACGGGAGUAAUCCUGGUGGCGAGUGGCGAACGGGUGAGUAAUACAUCGGAACGUGUCCUGUAGUGGGGGAUAGCCCGGCGAAAGCCGGAUUAAUACCGCAUACGCUCUACGGAGGAAAGGGGGGGAUCUUAGGACCUCUCGCUACAGGGGCGGCCGAUGGCAGAUUAACUAGUUGGUGGGGUAAAGGCCUACCAAGGCGACGAUCUGUAGCUGGUCUGAGAGGACGACCAGCCACACUGGGACUGAGACACGGCCCAGACUCCUACGGGAGGCAGCAGUGGGGAAUUUUGGACAAUGGGGGCAACCCUGAUCCAGCAAUGCCGCGUGUGUGAAGAAGGCCUUCGGUUGUAAAGCACUUUUGUCCGGAAAGAAAUCUUCUGCCCUAAUACGGCGGGAGGAUGACGGUACCGGAAGAAUAAGCACCGGCUAACUACGUGCCAGCCGCCGCGGUA
This 528-nucleotide ribosomal RNA is filed under the name uncultured Burkholderia sp. RNAcentral's name for it is "bacterial SSU rRNA". It matches the Rfam family "Bacterial small subunit ribosomal RNA", at positions 1 to 522 of the family's 1533-position model. The record is from RNAcentral. Lineage: Bacteria; Pseudomonadati; Pseudomonadota; Betaproteobacteria; Burkholderiales; Burkholderiaceae.